This 135-nucleotide ribosomal RNA is filed under the name uncultured Phenylobacterium sp. Its description in RNAcentral is "partial 16S ribosomal RNA". It matches the Rfam family "Bacterial small subunit ribosomal RNA", at positions 355 to 507 of the family's 1533-position model. Lineage: Bacteria; Pseudomonadati; Pseudomonadota; Alphaproteobacteria; Caulobacterales; Caulobacteraceae. The record is from RNAcentral.
UGGGGAAUCUUGCGCAAUGGGCGAAAGCCUGACGCAGCCAUGCCGCGUGGAUGAUGAAGGUCUUAGGAUUGUAAAAUCCUUUCACCGGGGACGAUAAUGACGGUACCCGGAGAAGAAGCCCCGGCUAACUUCGUG